RNAcentral lists this ribosomal RNA (840 nucleotides) under Acidimicrobiales bacterium. RNAcentral describes it as "partial 23S ribosomal RNA". It matches the Rfam family "Eukaryotic large subunit ribosomal RNA", at positions 1 to 801 of the family's 3401-position model. Lineage: Bacteria; Bacillati; Actinomycetota; Acidimicrobiia; Acidimicrobiales. The record is from RNAcentral.
CUUCGGUAUAGGUACUCCAAACGGUAUAACCUACAGUUUGUCACUUUGAGCUGAUGUGAAGUCAGAACACCCGCCGAAUUUAAGCAUAUUAAUAAGCGGAGGAAAAGAAACUAACCAGGAUUUCCUUAGUAGUGGCGAAUGAACAGGAACCUGACCAAUCUGAAAAUCCUUGCCUUUCAGGCACAGGAAUUGUGGUCUACAUAUUAGUUUCCCGGAAUUGUAGCUAGGUCUAAAUCAUUUUGAAAUAAUGUGUCACAGAGGGUUAUAACCCCGUGAGGCCUGGAGACAAGACUUACGGAGCUAUCUUGUGAGUCAUGUUGCUUGGGACUGCAGCAUAAAUGGGUGGUAGAGUCCAUCCAAGUCUAAAUAUUAUGGUGAGACCGAUAGCGAACAAGUACCGUGAGGGAAAGGUGAAAAGAACUUUGAAAAGAAUGUGAAAUAGUACGUGAAAUCGUUAGAGGAAAGCGAAUGGCUUCUCUUAAGGACCUGGCUUUGGUGCUGCCUAUAGUGAGUUCAAUUUCUUCGGAUCUUGCGACUCUCGCUGGCUCGACCUUUGUGAGGAUGGUUUAGAGUGUCUCAAUCUUUAUAGCUGGUCUGUCUGACGCUUUACUCACCGAGUGCUGUGUUUGGCUUUCUUGAUAUACUGGUUGUCUAUCUCCUACCUGAGGUCCUUUAACAGUUGUCAUCCGACCCGUCUUGAAACACGGACCAAGGAGUCUAACGUAUGUGCGAGUCUUUAGGUGGUAAACCUAUGGGCAUAGAGAAAUCGAUUGAAUGAUAACUUUUACGAGUUCCUCAUCAGCAGUGAUUGAUCCUUCGGGUGAAAAUCCUCGCUUGAGC